This 450-nucleotide ribosomal RNA is filed under the name uncultured bacterium. RNAcentral describes it as "bacterial SSU rRNA". It matches the Rfam family "Bacterial small subunit ribosomal RNA", at positions 355 to 825 of the family's 1533-position model. The record is from RNAcentral.
UCAAGAAACUUCCACAAUGGGCGAAAGCCUGAUGGAGCGACGUCGCGUGAUGGACGAAGUGCUUCGGCACGUAAACAUCUUUUAUGUGGGAUGAAAUUAUUGACAGUACCACAUGAAUAAGGGGCUCCUAACUCUGUGCCAGCAGGAGCGGUAAUACAGAGGCCCCAAGCGUUAUCCGGAAUCACUGGGCGUAAAGGGUGUCGAGGCGGUUGUAUUAGUCGUUCGUAAAAUCUACGAGCUUAACUUGUAGGCGGCGAACGAAACGGUACGACUUGAGGUUUGGAGAGGUGCGUGGAACUCACGGUGUAGGGGUGAAAUCCGUUGAUAUCGUGGGGAACACCAAAGGCGAAGGCAGCGCACUGGCCAAAAUCUGACGCUCACACACGGAAGCUAGGGUAGCGAAGAGGAUUAGAUACCCUUGUAGUCCCUGAGCGGGCUGGCAAGGCGCAU